This 2400-nucleotide long non-coding RNA is filed under the name Rosa chinensis. RNAcentral's name for it is "sRNA RchiOBHm_Chr5g0075481". Lineage: Eukaryota; Viridiplantae; Streptophyta; Magnoliopsida; Rosales; Rosaceae. The record is from RNAcentral.
CGUGGUUCGCGUCCAAAAAGCUCAAUGGCGGGUGAGGCCGCUGCUGCCAAAGCUAGGCGCGAAGAGCGUUUGGCGAGCAACAGUGCUGCCAGCGGCUCCGCUGGAGAAGGAGAAGUAGCGGGGCAAAAUGCUGAGUCGGCGUGGUUCCUCUCGGAUGGCACCGCCGUCGACGAGGCAGGAGGGCGGAUGGACGCCGCCGGUGUAAACCGAAUGAAGCAGACGUUUUGGUUGCCGGGCUCCGUGAAGCUGCGCCCGCCGACAGCGGAUGAGAAGGCCUCGAUUCUCCCGGCGGGACUUGCUGCCGUUCACGAGGCGAUAUUCCGCCAAGGAGUGACAUUCCCGCUGGUGCCAAAUCUCCAAAUCUUGGUGUACGAAUUUGGCCUUGCCUUUGGUCAGAUUUGCCCCAACAUGUGGCGGUUGAUGUUGGCCAUGAACUCACUCUGGCGGUUGUCCGGGUGCGAGGGGCCUACUGUGGCGGAAGUGCUUCACUUCUACGAGCUGGUGUACGUGAAGCGCCGAGGUUGCAAAGGGCAAGUGAACUUGAGCCGCCGGCAGGGAGCGCCCAAGCUGAUCGAGAAUCUAAGGGACUCAAUGUCCUACUAGCGGGGGACCUUCUGCGUCGCCACAGAGGGUUGGGAGUAUCACGCCAGGUCGAACGUAGUUGGCGGGUUUACGUAUCUGCACUUGUAUUGUCACUAACGAUUACCGUUUUUGUGCAGCGGGACUGCGGUACACGCUAACGAGCGAAGAAGAGUGCCGCAUAGCGAGGAUCAGAGGUUGCUGGCGGAACCGCAACUUGCUAGAUUUCCGACUUCUGACCGGUUGGGAGUUGCUGGUCGACCAGCGGCUAACGCGUUCCAUUGGUGAGAAAUCUCCGCCAGACCGUUUUCUCCCUUUUUUUUUGUAAGUGUGAUCUGGACUGACAAAUUUUUUUUUUAGAAACUCCGCCGGGCAAUAAAUCAAGUCGCGACGCUUUCGAAAAGGCCAUGGACCGCGCGGAGAUAGACGACUUUCUGGAGGCCAUGUACGCCGAGGGGCUGGCGGCUCAGCAGACGCUGGUGAACCCCGAGACACUGGCACUGAGUCAGUCCGAGGUUCCCGUGGUGCUGCCUAUGCCCCAUCACUCCCAUCUUGGUGAGGAUGGACUGCCGGUAGUGCAGACGGGGACCCAAGCGGCUGGCGGGGAGAGGGGAAGCGUUGCGGCUGGGCAACAGAAGGAGCGGAUGCCUGCUCAGAGGCGUGGCCCUCAAAAGGGGAAGGUGGUGCAACCGGCGGAGUCGCCAGUGAGGGUGACGAGGACCGCCGCCGGGAACCAAAGGGCGCUGGAGAGAAAACGCCGGCAGGUUGAUUCUCCUGACGAGGAAGAGGAAGAGGAGGUUGAGGUAAUCGGGGCCCGUCGACAGAAGAAGGCUCGCCCAGCUCCUUCGAAAACUGUUGCGGUGGAGGGAGAGGCGCCCGCCAUUAGUGAUCUGGACUCGUUUGCUGAGUACGCCGCGUUCAUGACAGAUGGUGAGCGGGAGUUCCUCUUCCAUCUAUGCGAACGGCUAGGGUUCGGCGGCCUAGCGGGCAUCUCGCGCCCCACGGCAAUUGACCAAUCGCCCUUCAGCUCGGCGUUUGGGCAAAUAUCGGCGGGACUGCACGACAUGUUCGUGGCGGCGUCGAAGCGGCCCCUGAUUGAGGGGGAGCUCAGGGAUGAAAUCCAAGGUCUCCAGAAGGAGUUGGCGGAGGCGAAGGAGAAGCUGGCGGUGGCGGAGCGGGGGCUUGCCAAGGCGGAAUGUGACUAUGCCGACGUCCGCGGUAAGCUCAAUGUAGCCAUUGAGCGGGACUUGGAGAGGAAUGAAUAUGUCUCCAAGUUGGAGCAAGACAUCGUCCUGCUGCAGGAGCGGAUAGCCGCCAAGGAUAAAAAACUCAUUAUUGUGCAGCGGGAGUCCGCCGACAGAAUGGCUGAAGUGAAGCGGCUGGGGGGUGAGGUUAACCGGCUGAGGGCUGAAGGGAGUACCGCUGCGGCCGCCGCCGUUGAGGCGUUCAAGCAGUCGGCGGAGUUUAAGAAGGCAAUGACCGAGUCGGCGAAGGCUGGGGCCCGAGCAAAUAUAGACAUGCUGAAGCGGAAGGGCGCCAUUGACUUCGCCAAAGCGUCACAGCCCGACGCGCCGCCGGUUGAGAGUAUCCCGCCGGAGACAGACGUGCCUGCCCCAUCCGGAGGUGCCUGCUUGGGCAGCGGAGAAAGUGGCGCUCAUCCGGCGGCAGGGUCCCAGCAGACUCCCCACCCCACCCCGUCGGAGGUGUCACGUGCUGGAUUCCUGGAGGCACACACCCGGGCGGAUGGUACCAUGGAGACCCCCAGUCCGACGGUGCGAGGGUCCGACCAAGCGAGUCGAUCGAUCGUGCCGCCGCCCGCCG